CAGCACCUCAAGUGGUCAGGAUGAUUAUUGGGCCUAAAGCAUCCGUAGCCUGCUUUGUAAGUUUUCGGUUAAAUCUGUACGCUCAACGUACAGGCUGCCGGGAAUACUGCAGCGCUAGGGAGUGGGAGAGGUAGACGGUACUCGGUAGGAAGGGGUAAAAUCCUUUGAUCUAUUGAUGACCACCUGUGGCGAAGGCGGUCUACCAGAACACGUCCGACGGUGAGGGAUGAAAGCUGGGGGAGCAAACCGGAUUAGAUACCCGCGUAGUCC
Molecule: ribosomal RNA, 270 nt
Filed under: uncultured archaeon
Lineage: Archaea
Description: partial 16S ribosomal RNA
Rfam family: Archaeal small subunit ribosomal RNA
Source: RNAcentral